CCUACGGGAGGCAGCAGUGGGGAAUAUUGGACAAUGGGGGCAACCCUGAUCCAGCCAUGCCGCGUGAGUGAUGAAGGCCUUCGGGUUGUAAAGCUCUUUUGGCGGGGACGAUGAUGACGGUACCCGCAGAAUAAGCCCCGGCUAACUUCGUGCCAGCAGCCGCGGUAAGACGAAGGGGGCUAGCGUUGUUCGGAAUUACUGGGCGUAAAGCGAGUGUAGGUGGUUGUCCAAGUUGGGUGUGAAAGCCUUGAGCUUAACUCAAGAAAUGCACUCAGGACUGGAUGACUAGAGGACCGGAGAGGAUAGUGGAAUUCCCAGUGUAGUGGUGAAAUACGUAGAGAUUGGGAAGAACACCAGUGGCGAAGGCGGCUAUCUGGACGGUUUCUGACACUAAGACUCGAAAGCGUGGGGAGCAAACAGGAUUAGAUACCCUGGUAGUCCACGCCGUAAACGAUGGGUGCUAGACGUUGGCGAGCUUGCUCGUCAGUGUCGCAGCUACGACGUAGUCACCCGCCGUCGGGAGGUACGGCCGCGAGGUUAGUAAACGUUAAAGGUAAGUUAGACGGCGUGAGACGUGCCGACGGACGACGACGAGGGAGGUAGG
Molecule: ribosomal RNA, 604 nt
Filed under: uncultured bacterium
Lineage: Bacteria
Description: bacterial SSU rRNA
Rfam family: Bacterial small subunit ribosomal RNA (bases 1-515)
Source: RNAcentral